This is a non-coding RNA of Erinaceus europaeus (western European hedgehog), 156 nucleotides long. NCBI's taxonomy places the organism in Eukaryota, Metazoa, Chordata, Mammalia, Eulipotyphla, Erinaceidae. The record is from Rfam.
AAGACUAUACUUUCAGGAAUCAUUUCUAUAGUUUGUUAAUAACCCCAUCGAUUUGAUCUGGGGCCCAUAAUCAGCAUAGGAGUCUAUGUAACCUCUACAUCCCUGUAGGUCCAAACUCGAAUUCUGUGGUCCAUGAAUAGGAGCAUUCUGAGUUGU